This 493-nucleotide ribosomal RNA is filed under the name uncultured bacterium. RNAcentral's name for it is "bacterial SSU rRNA". It matches the Rfam family "Bacterial small subunit ribosomal RNA", at positions 31 to 518 of the family's 1533-position model. The record is from RNAcentral.
GAACGCUAGCGACAGGCUAACACAUGCAAGUCGAGGGGUAACAGGGUAGCAAUACCGCUGACGACCGGCGCACGGGUGAGUAACGCGUAUGCAACCUGCCUAUAACUGGGGAAUAGCUCCCUGAAAGGGGAAUUAACACCGCAUAACACUAUUGAUUCGCAUGGAUUGGUAGUUAAAUGUAGCGAUACAGGUUAUAGAUGGGCAUGCGUGACAUUAGCUAGUUGGUGAGGUAACGGCUCACCAAGGCUACGAUGUCUAGGGGUUCUGAGAGGAAGGUCCCCCACACUGGUACUGAGACACGGACCAGACUCCUACGGGAGGCAGCAGUGAGGAAUAUUGGUCAAUGGGCGCAAGCCUGAACCAGCCAUGUCGCGUGCAGGAAGACUGCCCUAUGGGUUGUAAACUGCUUUUAUAGUAGAAGAAACACAUCUACGCGUAGAUGUCUGCCAGUAUACUAUGAAUAAGCAUCGGCUAACUCCGUGCCAGCAGCGGC